AGAGUUUGAUCAUGGCUCAGAACGAACGCUGGCGGCAGGCCUAACACAUGCAAGUCGAGCGCCCCCGCAAGGGGGAGCGGCGGACGGGUGAGUAACGCGUGGGAAUUUUCCUCAAGGUACGGAACAACUCAGGGAAACUUGGGCUAAUACCGUAUGAUGUCUAGCGACCAAAGAUUUAUCGCCUUGGGAUAAGCCCGCGUCAGAUUAGGUAGUUGGUGGGGUAACGGCCUACCAAGCCUGCGAUCUGUAGCUGGUCUGAGAGGACGAUCAGCCACACUGGGACUGAGACACGGCCCAGACUCCUACGGGAGGCAGCAGUGGGGAAUCUUGCGCAAUGGGCGAAAGCCUGACGCAGCCAUGCCGCGUGAAUGAUGAAGGUCUUAGGAUUGUAAAGUUCUUUCGCUCGUGACGAUGAUGACGGUAACGAGAGAAGAAGACCC
This 440-nucleotide ribosomal RNA is filed under the name uncultured Holospora sp. RNAcentral's name for it is "bacterial SSU rRNA". It matches the Rfam family "Bacterial small subunit ribosomal RNA", at positions 8 to 494 of the family's 1533-position model. Lineage: Bacteria; Pseudomonadati; Pseudomonadota; Alphaproteobacteria; Holosporales; Holosporaceae. The record is from RNAcentral.